ACGGAUAAAAGAGACCCUGGGGAUAACAGGCUUAUCUCCCCCAAGAGGCCACAUCGACGGGGAGGUUUGGAACCUCGAUGUCGGCUGAUCACAGCCUGGGGCUGUAGAAGGUCCCAAGGGUUGGGCUGUUCGCCCAUUAAAGUGGUACGCGAGCUGGGUUCAGAACGUCGUGAGACAGUUCGGUCCCUAGCCGUCGCAGGCGUAGGAAAUUUGAGAAGACCUGUCCUUAGUACGAGAGGACCGGGAUGGACGUACCUCUGGUGUACCAGUUGUCCUGCCAAGGGCAUGGCUGGGUAGCUAUGUACGGAAUGGAUAAGCGCUGAAAGCAUCUAAG
RNAcentral lists this ribosomal RNA (334 nucleotides) under Clostridioides difficile. RNAcentral describes it as "bacterial LSU rRNA". It matches the Rfam family "Bacterial large subunit ribosomal RNA", at positions 2452 to 2785 of the family's 2925-position model. The record is from RNAcentral. Lineage: Bacteria; Bacillati; Bacillota; Clostridia; Peptostreptococcales; Peptostreptococcaceae.